UACGUAGGGUGCGAGCGUUAAUCGGAAUUACUGGGCGUAAAGCGUGCGCAGGCGGUUUUGUAAGACAGAUGUGAAAUCCCCGGGCUCAACCUGGGACCUGCAUUUGUGACUGCAAGGCUAGAGUACGGCAGAGGGGGAUGGAAUUCCGCGUGUAGCAGUGAAAUGCGUAGAUAUGCGGGGGAACACCGAAGGCGAAGGCAAUCCCCUGGGCCUGUACUGACGCUCAUGCACGAAAGCGUGGGGAGCAAACAGG
Molecule: ribosomal RNA, 253 nt
Filed under: uncultured bacterium
Lineage: Bacteria
Description: partial 16S ribosomal RNA
Rfam family: Bacterial small subunit ribosomal RNA
Source: RNAcentral